GAAGAGAAGCUUGCUUUUCUGAUCUAGUGGCGGACGGGUGAGUAACACGUGAGCAAUCUGCCUUUCAGAGGGGGAUACCGAUUGGAAACGAUCGUUAAUACCGCAUAAUAUAAUUGAACCGCAUGAUUUGAUUAUCAAAGAUUUAUCGCUGAAAGAUGAGCUCGCGUCUGAUUAGCUAGUUGGUAAGGUAACGGCUUACCAAGGCGACGAUCAGUAGCCGGACUGAGAGGUUGAUCGGCCACAUUGGGACUGAGACACGGCCCAGACUCCUACGGGAGGCAGCAGUGGGGAAUAUUGCACAAUGGAGGAAACUCUGAUGCAGCGAUGCCGCGUGAGGGAAGAAGGUUUUAGGAUUGUAAACCUCUGUCUUCAGGGACGAAAAAAGACGGUACCUGAGGAGGAAGCUCCGGCUAACUACGUGCCAGCAGCCGCGGUAAUACGUAGGGAGCGAGCGUUGUCCGGAAUUACUGGGUGUAAAGGGAGCGUAGGCGGGAUCGCAAGUCAGAUGUGAAAACUAUGGGCUUAACCCAUAAACUGCAUUUGAAACUGUGGUUCUUGAGUGAAGUAGAGGUAAGCGGAAUUCCUAGUGUAGCGGUGAAAUGCGUAGAUAUUAGGAGGAACAUCAGUGGCGAAGGCGGCUUACUGGGC
Molecule: ribosomal RNA, 648 nt
Filed under: uncultured Lachnospiraceae bacterium
Lineage: Bacteria; Bacillati; Bacillota; Clostridia; Lachnospirales; Lachnospiraceae
Description: bacterial SSU rRNA
Rfam family: Bacterial small subunit ribosomal RNA
Source: RNAcentral